This 325-nucleotide ribosomal RNA is filed under the name uncultured bacterium. RNAcentral describes it as "bacterial SSU rRNA". It matches the Rfam family "Bacterial small subunit ribosomal RNA", at positions 18 to 344 of the family's 1533-position model. The record is from RNAcentral.
CAUGGCUCAGGAUGAACGCUAGCUACAGGCUUAACACAUGCAAGUCGAUGGGGAAGUGGUGCUUGCACCAUGGUAACCAUGGCGGACGGGUGAGUAACGCGUAAGGAACUUGCCUGCGGGACCGGGAUAACAGCAGGAAACUGCUGACAAGACCGGAUAAGGUCAUUAAGCCGCAUAGCUUAGUGAUGAAAGGAGACGCCUGCGGAGAGUCUUGCGUCCUAUUAGCUAGUUGGAGGGGUAACGGCCCACCAAGGCGAAGAUAGGUAGCCGGCCUGAGAGGGUGGACGGCCACAAGGGGACUGAGAUACGGCCCUUACUCCUACGG